UACGGAGGAUGCGAGCGUUAUCUGGAUUUAUUGGGUUUAAAGGGUGCGUAGGCGGUCCGGAAAGUCAGCGGUAAAAGCCCGGGGCUCAACCCCGGCGAGCCGUUGAAACUGGCGGCCUCGAGUGGGCGAGAAGUAUGCGGAAUGCGUGGUGUAGCGGUGAAAUGCAUAGAUAUCACGCAGAACUCCGAUUGCGAAGGCAGCAUACCGGCGCUCAACUGACGCUGAGGCACGAAAGCGUGGGGAUCGAACAGG
This 252-nucleotide ribosomal RNA is filed under the name uncultured Bacteroidales bacterium. RNAcentral describes it as "partial 16S ribosomal RNA". It matches the Rfam family "Bacterial small subunit ribosomal RNA", at positions 524 to 776 of the family's 1533-position model. Lineage: Bacteria; Pseudomonadati; Bacteroidota; Bacteroidia; Bacteroidales. The record is from RNAcentral.